CCAUUACGUAAACAAAGGAUGAUUAAAGAAAUAUACCCAUUUAUCGUGUCUGUAAGGUCUGUACCGCCUUCCAUAAUGCCCAUUACGUAAACAAAGGAUGAUUAAAGAAAUAUACCCAUUUAUCGUGUCUGUAAGGUCUGUACCGCCUUCCAUAAUGCCCAUUACGUAAACAAAGGAUGAUUAAAGAAAUAUACCCAUUUAUCGUGUCUGUAAGGUCUGUACCGCCUUCCAUAA
Long non-coding RNA from Mytilus californianus (California mussel), 234 nucleotides. RefSeq lists it as uncharacterized. Lineage: Eukaryota; Metazoa; Mollusca; Bivalvia; Mytilida; Mytilidae. The transcript has 3 exons. The record is from RefSeq and is a predicted model, not a curated record.